This 480-nucleotide ribosomal RNA is filed under the name uncultured bacterium. Its description in RNAcentral is "bacterial SSU rRNA". It matches the Rfam family "Bacterial small subunit ribosomal RNA", at positions 29 to 503 of the family's 1533-position model. The record is from RNAcentral.
AUUGAACGCUGGCGGCGUGCUUAACACAUGCAAGUCGAUCGGUAACGCGGGGGCAACCCUGGCGACGAGAGGCGGACGGGUGAGUAACGCUUGGGAAUCUGCCCAUCAGCGGGGGACAACCCGGGGAAACCCGGGCUAAUACCGCAUACGCUCCACGGAGGAAAGCAGGGGACCGCAAGGCCUUGCACUGAUGGAUGAGCCCAAGCCGGAUUAGCUAGUUGGCGGGGUAACGGCCCACCAAGGCGACGAUCCGUAGCUGGUCUGAGAGGACGAUCAGCCACACCGGAACUGAGACACGGUCCGGACUCCUACGGGAGGCAGCAGUGGGGAAUAUUGGACAAUGGGGGAAACCCUGAUCCAGCGACGCCGCGUGGGUGAAGAAGGCCUGCGGGUUGUAAAGCCCUUUCGGUAGGGACGAAAGCUCUCGACCUAACACGUCGGGAGGUUGACUUAACCUACAAAAGAAGCACCGGCUAACUC